UGGGGAAUAUUGGACAAUGGGCGAAAGCCUGAUCCAGCCAUGCCGCGUGAGUGAUGAAGGCCCUAGGGUUGUAAAGCUCUUUCACCGGUGAAGAUAAUGACGGUAACCGGAGAAGAAGCCCCGGCUAACUUCGUGCCAGCAGCCGCGGUAAUACGAAGGGGGCUAGCGUUGUUCGGAAUUACUGGGCGUAAAGCGCACGUAGGCGGAUUGUUAAGUGAGGGGUGAAAUCCCAGGGCUCAACCCUGGAACUGCCUUUCAUACUGGCAAUCUCGAGUCCGAGAGAGGUGAGUGGAAUUCCGAGUGUAGAGGUGAAAUUCGUAGAUAUUCGGAGGAACACCAGUGGCGAAGGCGGCUCACUGGCUCGGUACUGACGCUGAGGUGCGAAAGCGUGGGGAGCAAACAGG
RNAcentral lists this ribosomal RNA (404 nucleotides) under uncultured Hyphomicrobiales bacterium. Its description in RNAcentral is "bacterial SSU rRNA". It matches the Rfam family "Bacterial small subunit ribosomal RNA", at positions 355 to 776 of the family's 1533-position model. The record is from RNAcentral. Lineage: Bacteria; Pseudomonadati; Pseudomonadota; Alphaproteobacteria; Hyphomicrobiales.